This 181-nucleotide unclassified non-coding RNA is filed under the name Isolepis crassiuscula. Lineage: Eukaryota; Viridiplantae; Streptophyta; Magnoliopsida; Poales; Cyperaceae. The record is from RNAcentral.
UUGUUACCUUUGAACAUGACCGUGAACAUGUAACAUAAUGCUACCGGGGAGUUCCAUCUCCUCGGCCCUGCUGGCCCCAGCUUAUUGGCUGGGUGUCGGAAAACGGCACGGGAUGUUGCCAAGGAACACUGAUUUGCUGAGGCAGACGACAAUACGCUCGUACUGCUGACGCCAACUUAAC